CAGCAUGAACUUAGCUUGCUAAGUUUGAUGGCGACCGGCGCACGGGUGAGUAACACGUAUCCAACCUGCCGAUGACUCAGGGAUAGCCUUUCGAAAGAAAGAUUAAUACCUGAUGGUAUCUUAAGCACACAUGUAAUUAAGAUUAAAGAUUCAUCGGUGUACGAUGGGGAUGCGUUCCAUUAGGUAGUAGGCGGGGUAACGGCCCACCUAGCCGACGAUGGAUAGGGGUUCUGAGAGGAAGGUCCCCACAUUGGAACUGAGACACGGUCCAAACUCC
Molecule: ribosomal RNA, 277 nt
Filed under: uncultured Bacteroides sp.
Lineage: Bacteria; Pseudomonadati; Bacteroidota; Bacteroidia; Bacteroidales; Bacteroidaceae
Description: partial 16S ribosomal RNA
Rfam family: Bacterial small subunit ribosomal RNA
Source: RNAcentral